CCCUUAGAUGUUCGGGGCUGCACGCGUGCUACAAUGGCGCUUGCAACAAGUCUUGCCAACCCGAUAGGGUGAGCGGAUCUUUGAAGAGGCGUCGUGAUCGGGACAGUUGAUUGCAAUUAUUCGACUCGAACGAGGAAUUCCUUGUAAUCGCGAUUCAUCAUAUCGCGCUGAAUACGUCCCUGCCCUUUGUACACACCGCCCGUCGCUCCUACCGAUUGAGCGAUCCGGUGAAUGUUUUGGACUGGCGUCAGAAGCGGUUCGCUCCUGACACUACGAAAUUUUGUAAACCUUAUCGCUUAGAGGAAGGAAAAGUCGUAACA
This 320-nucleotide ribosomal RNA is filed under the name uncultured eukaryote. RNAcentral describes it as "partial 18S ribosomal RNA". It matches the Rfam family "Eukaryotic small subunit ribosomal RNA", at positions 1470 to 1796 of the family's 1831-position model. The record is from RNAcentral.